Molecule: long non-coding RNA, 426 nt
Filed under: Setaria viridis
Lineage: Eukaryota; Viridiplantae; Streptophyta; Magnoliopsida; Poales; Poaceae
Description: long non-coding RNA (SVIR_LNC011313)
Source: RNAcentral
AAAAAAGAAAGAGAGGAGAGGAGGAGGAGGGAAGAAAAAAAGAAAUAAAGGAGGAGGAGGAGGAGGGAAGAGAGGAGGAGGAGGAGGGGGAAGAGGGAAGGAAUUUUUUUCAUCUUUUUUAGGUAAAAAAUCUUUUUAAUCUCGUAGUUUAGUUAAGUAUAGUAUAGUAUAGUUUAGUUUAGUUUAGAUCUAAAUUUAGAAAUAUUAGUGGAUCUAAGAUUUAGAAAUAUUAGUAGAUCUAGAUUUAGGAAUAAUAGUGGAUCUAGAUUUAGACUUAGAAAUUUUUAGCUAUAUUUAGAUAUAGGAAAAUGUAGCUUAGUUAGUAUAAUUGAUUUAGCUUAUACAGUAUAAUAGAGUCAGCAUUAUUAGAUUUAUUUGGUAUGGUAAAUGCCUAUGAUAAAUAUAGUUAGUAAAUUCUGAUAUUUU